This 401-nucleotide ribosomal RNA is filed under the name Cryptosporidium parvum. RNAcentral's name for it is "SSU rRNA". It matches the Rfam family "Eukaryotic small subunit ribosomal RNA", at positions 672 to 1082 of the family's 1831-position model. Lineage: Eukaryota; Apicomplexa; Conoidasida; Eucoccidiorida; Cryptosporidiidae. The record is from RNAcentral.
AUUUAUAUAAAAUAUUUUGGAUGAAUAUUUAUAUAAUAUUAACAUAAUUCAUAUUACUAUAUAUUUUAGUAUAUGAAAUUUUACUUUGAGAAAAUUAGAGUGCUUAAAGCAGGCAUAUGCCUUGAAUACUCCAGCAUGGAAUAAUAUUAAAGAUUUUUAUCUUUCUUAUUGGUUCUAAGAUAAGAAUAAUGAUUAAUAGGGACAGUUGGGGGCAUUUGUAUUUAACAGUCAGAGGUGAAAUUCUUAGAUUUGUUAAAGACAAACUAAUGCGAAAGCAUUUGCCAAGGAUGUUUUCAUUAAUCAAGAACGAAAGUUAGGGGAUCGAAGACGAUCAGAUACCGUCGUAGUCUUAACCAUAAACUAUGCCAACUAGAGAUUGGAGGUUGUUCCUUACUCCUUCA